GGACCCGUAGUCUAGCAUGGAUAAAAUUCCUGGUCGCGGUCCAGGAGAUCGGGGGUUCGAAUCCCCCCGGGUCCA
This 75-nucleotide transfer RNA is filed under the name Nanobdella aerobiophila. RNAcentral's name for it is "tRNA-Arg". It matches the Rfam family "tRNA". From Rfam's summary of the family: Transfer RNA (tRNA) molecules are approximately 80 nucleotides in length. Their secondary structure includes four short double-helical elements and three loops (D, anti-codon, and T loops). The record is from RNAcentral. Lineage: Archaea; Nanobdellati; Nanobdellota; Nanobdellia; Nanobdellales; Nanobdellaceae.